Molecule: long non-coding RNA, 650 nt
Organism: Aethina tumida (small hive beetle)
Lineage: Eukaryota; Metazoa; Arthropoda; Insecta; Coleoptera; Nitidulidae
Exons: 4
Source: RefSeq, a predicted model, not a curated record
UAAAAAGCUUCCCACCAAAUUGAAAUUGAAAGUUCCUUAGGACAAAUGAGAAAUUAAAACAGCAUAUCAUUUUAUGAGGACAGGACAUAAAACGGAUCAGAAAUCAUUUAACCACAAAACUAAAAUGCUUCCCACCAAGUUGAAAGUUCCUUAGGACAAAUGAAAAAUUAAAACAGCAUGCCAUUUUAUGAGGGAAGAAUAUAAAAUGAAUCAGAAAUGUAAAUAUAAAAGCAUUUAACCAAGAAACAAAAAAACUUCGCACCAAGUUGUAAGUUCCUUAGGACAAAUGAAAAAUUAAACUGGGACAAUAUUUUAUGAGGAAAGGAAAUGAAAUGAAUUUGAAACGUAAAUAUAAAAGGUAUUAGGAUCACUUAUUUGGAAACCAGUCAUCGAGCCUUACCUUCUUCAGCCACUCGAACCAAUUGAUUGGAUCAAUUUAGUAGCACACCAAAAUAAUUGGGAGAUCUCGGGUUGCUGCCUCAGUUGUGGACUUUCAUAAGUAAUUUUAUAUAUGUAGUAUGUAAUUUGUAACAUUGCAAUUUAUUCCUUCAAUAGUAUGUAUCCACUUGUAUACAUGUUCAAUUGUGUCAACCAAGGUUUAUAACCUGCUGCUCUUUGAACAUUGGACUUGAUGAAUUGACAAUUAUGAU